UGCUGGCAGCCGAGGGGGAAGGAUCCCUGCUGGAAUGAGCAAAAGAGAAGGGGCCAGACUGCAGCAAAUCAGCGACACCAUCCUUCCAUCUCAGAUCCUGGGUUCUCUGGACAGAAAGUCAGUGCAAGGGAAAGUCUCCAUCAGCAAGUGUUGGCCACUUUCAAGAAGUUUCUCUAUCUAGUCAGACAAUAAAAACACAAGAGACUCACCGAGGCAGAUGGGCAUGCCCAGUGCAAAUGAAAUGCUUAGAGAAUUGAAGCACUUCCAACCAGCUGCACACAGCACAUGCAAAUAAUUUGAAUGUGCUUAUAACUUAGUUAAAUGUAAAUUAUUUUUAUGGUAAUAGCAAAAUGCCCUCAGGAGUAUCCCUCUGCUCUAAUGGUCAAGGCCCUGCUCCGAAUGUAUAACCUGCUAGUAUUAUUUUUAAAUGGUUUAAAAAAAAUGGUUAACACUGGCAAAACUUUAUUUUUCACUGGUUGCAUUCUUCAACAUGGAUGAUCUGUUUUUGCAAAAAUCAUCAACAAUAUUAAAUCAGCCUGAGGCAGGCUCUCAGCUUGGAAAAUUUCAGCAGGAAGAGCUAGGGUUGGUAAAGUUAUAAGCAGCUGAAAAAUAGUCAAAAAGUAGGAUAUGUGAAAGAGGGCCUCAGCAGCUUGUCAGCAGCCCAUCCCAAGAAUAGCUGUCCAUGACUUGCUGCUGGGACCUCAACUACUGCAGAAGAGUCCAUGGAAGUCGGCUAAGAAGGAAGAGGUCUCCACAAGGCUUUCUUCACAAAUUUUCAUCUCGGAUAUUGUACUGGAAAAGCCAGUGUUGACAAAUCAGCAGGCUCUUGAAGAAAGUGCACAAACCCCAGGAGAUCUACAGGAAGCUAGAGAGUUGUGUAGGGGACAUGUGCCUGGUAGCCAUGUCUUAUGUAUUUAACAGCAUAGUUCCAAUGGAUCAUGAUAUCAAGAACUUCUUGGAUCUGAUCACCCCAGGGCAUCCACCAGAUUUAAAUCUGUAUUGAAAAUAUGGCUCUACAGGUUGGAUAAAAGUCAUGGAACUAGAGGAGGGGGCAAUGUCUCCACCUCUGGUUCUGCCUGCAUACACUGCAGGACUAACUACUUGAUGUGCCUGCUCCUUCUUCCUUCCUUGAUUUUCACCCCUGCACAAAACUAUUUCCAAGGUCCAAAGAAGGGGUGAUGGAGCUGCAGACAUUUUACCCUCCCCUUCCAUGCAAGGUUGAGUAUGGGUGUUGCGGGGGGAAACAACCUGUCUCUUGGUUCAGAUUUCACUCCCUGUAGUAACCACUCCCCAAAGGGAAUUAAAUACAGUGGGAUGAUUUAUUCACUGUGAAUGUUUCUUAUAGGAACAUAAGACCUGAGCCAUUUAUUUACAGCGUGCCAUCUGAAAAGAGCUAAGAGAACCACCAAGGGCUUUGCUAAUGCCUUGAGUCUGUAGUGGUAGGAAAUAAGUUUGGUGAAUUAAUGACAGAUGAGCCCAGGAAGUGGACCAUGCCUCAGCUUUCCCAAUGGUUUAUGGAAUUAAUCUCAUUACAAAUUUUUUUUUCAUUCAUCUUGUCCUGUCCAGUCCAGUCAAAUAGGUUCUUUUAUCCUAAAUAACCCCAUAGCAUCUUAAUGUUUUCAACAGUGUAUUAUGCAACUUGACUUAGCAACUUCUGUUAUGUAAGAUCUGUUCUUGCUUUCUAUGCCAAAAAGAAAAUUGAGUGCAGUGAGCGAGACAAUCACAGGGCAUCCGCUAGACUUAAAGCAAGGAUCUGUAUUAAGCAUACAUUGCUGCAGGGAGGGUAAGCUCCAUGGAGCUAGACAAAGAAGCAGCAUCUUCUGCCCCCAACCCAGGGAUAGGGAGUGUUUAUUUCAUUUUCUUUUUUAUGGUGUUCACAAUAGUUUAUAUUUCUGUUAGAGCAGAAUCAAAGACAUUUGUACAGUAUUUGUCUUUCAGCAGAAGUUUAGGAAAUUUGUGAUGGUCCUUAGAUCCUGGGGGACCUCAUUCCAAUGCUGGCACUAGCCUCUGAGAAAACUCUACCUCUUGCAUACACAAGGGAUAUCCUUGAGGAGAAUCCAUUGUGCCAAUGGAGUGAAGCUGUUGAUCAUGACUUCACUCCAGAGGAUUUAGCUAGAUGUCCUGGGUUCAUGCCACUGAGUGUCUUGAAGAUAAGAACUGAAACUAGGAGCUUGGUUCACAAAUUCAUGGAAAACCAAUGCAGAGAGGUGACAUGGCAUCUGAUAUGUUCCUGUGUGGCUGGUGAGAUGUGAUGCAUCCCUCUGGUCUGUGGUUUUGUAAAUACUGCAGGCUUUGUGACAAGGUAUAACGCAUUAUUGUAGUCCAGCUAAAAGGUGAUGAAAACAUUAAUAACCAAGGACAGGUCAUCAGCAUUUAAGAUGGGACAGUAUCCCAACCAGUCUGAGAAUGUAGGAAGCCAUACUCACAGAUGUUUUUAUGUGAGAGUCUAUUAUCACAGUGAGGAAUGCUGCACUGGAGACUGAAUGGACUCGUUAUAGCCCUGCCCAAGCACUAGCUCAGCCUCCUAAAGAAGGAGAGAAAGACCCGGCCAGCUUGCAGGCUCUACAGUACCAGUAAGCUUGCCUGCCUGGACACCACUGAAGGGCAGUGCUUGAAGGCAUCCUUUGGCAUUGCCCUUCAGCAGUGACUUAAGGUCUUUCUUUUAACUUUUUGUUAGGAGUCUUGUGAAUUUGUACUGUGUGUGUUGGAGGCAGGGGGAGGAGUUAGAUGUAUUUUAGGGGCAAGGGAGUGAGAACUCUGUAGA
Molecule: long non-coding RNA, 2764 nt
Organism: Alligator mississippiensis (American alligator)
Lineage: Eukaryota; Metazoa; Chordata; Crocodylia; Alligatoridae
Exons: 3
Source: RefSeq, a predicted model, not a curated record